AUACGAAAGGUGCAAGCGUUGUUCGGAUUUACUGGGCGUAAAGAGAGUGUAGGUUGUUUAUUAAGUCGGAUGUGAAAUCCCGGGGCUCAACCUCGGAACUGCAUUCGAUACUGAUAGGCUAGAGUUUGGGAGGGGUAAGCGGAAUUCCGUGUGUAGCAGUGAAAUGCGUAGAUAUACGGAGGAACACCUGAGGCGAAGGCGGCUUACUGGACCAAUACUGACACUGAGACUCGAAAGCGUGGGUAGCAAACAGGAUUAGAAACCCGAGUAGUCC
Molecule: ribosomal RNA, 274 nt
Filed under: uncultured bacterium
Lineage: Bacteria
Description: partial 16S ribosomal RNA
Rfam family: Bacterial small subunit ribosomal RNA
Source: RNAcentral